UUGGACAAUGGGCGAAAGCCUGAUCCAGCAACGCCGCGUGAGGGAUGACGGCCUUCGGGUUGUAAACCUCUUUCAGCAGGGACGAAGCGCAAGUGACGGUACCUGCAGAAGAAGCACCGGCCAACUACGUGCCAGCAGCCGCGGUAAUACGUAGGGUGCGAGCGUUGUCCGGAAUUAUUGGGCGUAAAGGGCUCGUAGGCGGUCUGUCGCGUCGGGAGUGAAAACUCAGGGCUUAACCCUGAGCCUGCUUCCGAUACGGGCAGACUAGAGGUAUGCAGGGGAGAACGGAAUUCCUGGUGUAGCGGUGAAAUGCGCAGAUAUCAGGAGGAACACCGGUGGUGAAGGCGGUUCUCUGGGCAUUACCUGACGCUGAGGAGCGAAAGUGUGGGGAGCGAACAGGAUUAGAUACCCUGGUAGUCCACACCGUAAACGUUGGGCGCUAGGUGUGGGACUCAUUCCACGAGUUCCGUGCCGCACUAACGCAUUAAGCGCCCCGCCUGGGGAGUACGGCCGCAAGGCUAAAACUCAAAGGAAUUGACGGGGGCCCGCACAAGCGGCGGAGCAUGCGGAUUAAUUCGAUGCAACGCGAAGAACCUUACCUGGGUUUGACAUAUGGAGAAAUCCCCUAGAGAUAGGGGGUCCGUAAGGGCUCUAUACAGGUGGUGCAUGGCUGUCGUCAGCUCGUGUCGUGAGAUGUUGGGUUAAGUCCCGCAACGAGCGCAACCCUCGUCUUAUGUUGCCAGCACGUAAUGGUGGGGACUCAUAAGAGACUGCCGGGGUCAACUCGGAGGGAGGUGGGGAUGACGUCAAGUCAUCAUGCCCCUUAUGUCCAGGGCUUCACGCAUGCUACAAUGGCCGGUACAAAGGGCUGCGAAACCGCAAGGUAGAGCGAAUHCCAAAAAGCCGGUCUCAGUUCGGAUUGGGGUCUGCAACUCGACCCCAUGAAGUCGGAGUCGCU
This 958-nucleotide ribosomal RNA is filed under the name uncultured Actinomycetes bacterium. Its description in RNAcentral is "bacterial SSU rRNA". It matches the Rfam family "Bacterial small subunit ribosomal RNA", at positions 364 to 1336 of the family's 1533-position model. The record is from RNAcentral. Lineage: Bacteria; Bacillati; Actinomycetota; Actinomycetes.